CUUUUUUUUUUCUUUUCUUUUUUUUUCAUGUUCUAGAUUAUUCCUAAAUUCUUGUAUUGGUUCUAUCCUAGUCUUCCUGAAUAUAUCUUCUGAAGUCCUCCAAGCAACACAACAUCAAACGUACACUUUUCAGUAAUGUACUGACUCUUACUUCAAAGCAACUAAUCUUUGCUUAUGAGAGAGUCCAUCCAGCCACAGAAGAAAUUUGAUGAGUGGAAAGCCAGAAAGAAAUCUGCUGGUAUUGCAGUAAGCUGGUCCUGCGGAGAUGAACGGUAUUCCUUGUCCUCAAGGCACAGCAAAUGAAACAAGCUGCUCCUCUCUCCAGCUGGGAGUUGCUGAAGGUUAAGCUUAUUAAGUCUGGAGACCUGCUGAGAAGGGAAUGAAGAGCUCACCCAAAGGCAAAAAGUCAGAAAAUGUUUCUUGGGAGAAGAAAGCCAAGGGGAGGAGAGAAUGGCAGGCUACACCCUGCUCUGCUAACGCUGGCAAAACAACGUCAGCAUCCUCUUCUAGGACUGUGUUGUUGGCUGCAGGAGUCUCCAGUCCAGACACUGCACUGUACAAAACAAAUAUCGAAUAUCGAAUAAAAGGUGGAAAUACAUCCCAGGCAACCAAAGAAUUUCCUCCUAGACCUGAUUAGUCUUAUCAGAAAGCUAAUGAUGAUGCCUCUCUGUCUGAUACAUAGGAUGAAAUUACUUAAGUGAGCAGAUAGGAGUAACCAUUUUGGACGUGUGAAGCAAAGAAUGCAUUGUAAUCCAAUGUGUUCCAAGAAGCUGGCAUUCCUGAGGUAGGAAUUUAUCUGCCAUUAUG
This is a long non-coding RNA of Gallus gallus (chicken), 807 nucleotides long. The record is from Ensembl. Lineage: Eukaryota; Metazoa; Chordata; Aves; Galliformes; Phasianidae.